This 653-nucleotide ribosomal RNA is filed under the name Tintinnopsis baltica. RNAcentral describes it as "LSU rRNA". It matches the Rfam family "Eukaryotic large subunit ribosomal RNA", at positions 114 to 817 of the family's 3401-position model. The record is from RNAcentral. Lineage: Eukaryota; Ciliophora; Spirotrichea; Tintinnida; Codonellidae.
UUGGUAAUCUCCGAGCUUGGGCUCGGCGAAUUGUAAUCUGAAGAUCGCUAGUCUAAUUGGAUCAGGCGUCAAAGUGCGCACGAGCGCGCCGCCAUAGAGGGUGAGAGCCCCGUACGACGCAGGAUCCUACCAAGGCUGGUGUUCGAAGAGUCGUGUACUUUGAUACUAGUGCACUAAGCGGGAGAUAAACUUCUUCUAAGGCUAAAUAUAAGUAGGAAACCGAUAGCGAACAAGUACUGUGAAGGAAAGAUGAAAAGCACUUUGGAAAGAAAGUUAAAAGACUUGAAAUCGUUGAGGCGGACCCGGUAGAAAUGUAUUCUAGCGAAGCGCUCUGGGAAGCCUCUACGGGGGCCACUUGAGCGCUAGCCGAGACAAGAUGGAGUCGCCUGAUGCCAGAGGCUGUGUGCGAGCGUGCUUGCAUGAGCGCAUGCUAGUCGGGUGUUAGGCGGCUUGAGGGGCCUUGAGCGAUCUUGUCAAAAUGGUUUUUACCGACUCGUCUUGAAACACGAACCAAGGAGUCUAAGACUAACGCGAGUAUGGUGGUGGAGAAACCAACAUGCGAAAUGAAAGUAAAUGAUGCCAAGCUCCCUGCAGCAUCGACCGACUUUUUUCUAUUGGAAGAGGUUUGAGUAAGAGCGUUAUUCUUAGGACCC